GAUGAACGCUGGCGGCGUGCCUAAUACAUGCAAGUCGAGCGAACGGACGAGAAGCUUGCUUCCCUGCUGAUAGCGUCGGAUGGGUGAGUAAACCGUGGAUAAACUCCCUAUAAACCUGGCUUAACUUCGGGAAAACGGAGCUAAUACCGCUUAAUAUUCUGCAUCGCAUGGUUCCACAGUGAAAGACGGUCUUGCUGUCACCUAUAGAUGGAUACGCGCUGCAUUAGCUAGUUGGUAAGGUAACGGCUUCCCACGGCAACGAUGCUUAGCCGACAUGAGAGGGAGAACGGCCAGACUAGAACUGAGACACGGCGCAGACUCCUACGGUAGGCAGCAGUAGGGAAUCUUACGGAAUGGGCGAGUGCCUGACGUAGCAACGCCGCGUGAGUGAUGAAGGUCUGCGGAUGGUAGAACGCUGUUAUUAGGGAGUAAGAUAAGUGUAAGUAGCAGUGAAGAUCAUGACGGUACCUAAUCAGAAAGCCACGGCUAACUACGUG
This 497-nucleotide ribosomal RNA is filed under the name uncultured bacterium. RNAcentral's name for it is "partial 16S ribosomal RNA". It matches the Rfam family "Bacterial small subunit ribosomal RNA", at positions 28 to 507 of the family's 1533-position model. The record is from RNAcentral.